GGGGGCGUAAAGGCUUCGACGGGGGCUGUGAACGUUCAUAAGCGAGUAGAGGGCGCGACUCUUUAACCACGCAACACGUUUAAAAUUAAACGCUGAUAACGAUACUCUUUUGAUGGCUGCCUAAGGGCCCCAUCCGUCUGCCCGGGAAGGACUGCGGUCCCGGAACAGGCGUCGAUCAGCAGUGAACAUUCUGCGGACCUGCUCAUAUCCGCUGAAGGUCUUUUGAGCUACCGACUCUGUAAGCCUGCUUUUCGGCGUGCAGAGCCGGGAAUUGAAAGGAAAAGCUACACUCGUAGAAAUUGACCGGAAUCGGCUUUCGGACAUGGGUUCAAUUCCCAUCGCCUCCACCA
This is a non-coding RNA of Ruminococcus sp., 350 nucleotides long. It matches the Rfam family "transfer-messenger RNA". From Rfam's summary of the family: Bacterial tmRNA, also known as 10Sa RNA or SsrA, is named for its dual tRNA and mRNA-like properties. Its role is to liberate the mRNA from a stalled ribosome. Lineage: Bacteria; Bacillati; Bacillota; Clostridia; Eubacteriales; Oscillospiraceae. The record is from Rfam.